Centrocercus urophasianus (Greater sage-grouse) is the source of this 808-nucleotide long non-coding RNA. RefSeq lists it as uncharacterized. Lineage: Eukaryota; Metazoa; Chordata; Aves; Galliformes; Phasianidae. The transcript is spliced from 6 exons. The record is from RefSeq and is a predicted model, not a curated record.
UUGGAGUCAGACUGGGUGAUCUUUAAGUGUACCUUCCAGCUCAAAUGAAACUAUGAUUCUAUGAUAAAGCUGGAUUUUGAAUACUGGAGUAAUGACAUGGAUAUUUACUCACCUGCUAUAUAUUCGGUUGUAUGGGAACUGCUGAAUCAUGGCCUGAACCUCUGAUUGAUCACCUGAGGCGAGCAAUGAGUCAGCUAUGGGAGCACAGGUGAAGGCAAUUCUUCUGGAGAUCCCUCUUUUGGAGCUUUACAGCAAGCCAAGCAUAAGGUUGCUUGUCCAGGUAUGGAAACUGAUACUAGAAGCAUCAGAUUUUGAUGUCACGGUCUUGUACUCAUUACAAGCUGAAAUUCAUCACCUUCCAACCCAACUGCAUACCACAGUGUGAUCUGCCAAAAGAAAUGCCUAAUAACUUGGAGUGUGCACUCAGAUGCUAUCUGAGCAGGAAUGCAAAUGAUGCGCUGAACAUCGAUGGAGAAUACAGGAAAACAAAGAAGAAGGAAAUCAGACUAAGCCUGUGACUUUACCAUUGCAGAGAGGAGCACUAUGAUGCACAGAAGUACCCACAAGUGGCAUGGCUUCUCCAGACCUCCCAUUGCAUUUGGUAGUAAAACAGAUGCUCUAGCGUGUGUUCACGUGCAGCUACAUCCUGGCGUAACUGAAAAAGAUAGGUCUCUCGAUGCUAACGAAUAUUCACAAAUCCUUCCAUGAAUCCCGAGGCACCGCGUCUGAGAUGUGCCAGACGUGAGGCAAACAGCUCGUGCUGCGCACCGCUCCCUAAUAGCCGCUUUCUCUACGAGCACCUUCCCGA